GAGUGUAUAGCUCAGUUGGUAGAGCAUUGGGCUUUUAACCUAAUGGUUGUAGGUUCAAGUCCUGCUAUACCCA
Molecule: non-coding RNA, 73 nt
Organism: Triticum aestivum (bread wheat)
Lineage: Eukaryota; Viridiplantae; Streptophyta; Magnoliopsida; Poales; Poaceae
Source: Rfam